CACCGCGGUUAUACGAGAGACCCAAGUUGACAAAAACCGGCGUAAAGAGUGGUUAAUAAAAUUUAAACUAAAGCCGAACAUCUUCAAAGCUGUUAUACGCACCCGAAGACAGGAAGACCCCCAACGAAAGUGGCUUUAACCACUAUGAAUCCACGAAAGCUAGGAGA
This 167-nucleotide ribosomal RNA is filed under the name Callogobius snelliusi. RNAcentral's name for it is "partial 12S rRNA". The record is from RNAcentral. Lineage: Eukaryota; Metazoa; Chordata; Actinopteri; Gobiiformes; Gobiidae.